GGUGUGGCUUAAAUGCCAAGUCCGAACGGCAGCACAGAGAGUCUUGUUCUCGGGUGACGAGUGGCGGACGGGUGAUUAAUGUCUGGGAGACUGCCUGAGGGAGGGGGAUAACUACUGCAAACGGUAACUCAUACCGCAUAACGUCGCAGAACAAAGAGGGGGACCUUCCGGCCUCUUGCCAUCAAAUGUGCCCCGAUGGGAUUAGCUAGUAGGUGGGGUAACGGCUCACCUAGGCGACCAUCCCUGGCUGGUCUGAAAGGAUGACCACCCACACUGGAACUGAGACACGGUCCUCACUCCUACGGGAGGCAGCAGUGGGGAAUAUUGCACAAUGGGCGCAAGCCUGAUGCAUCCAUGCCGCGUGUAUGAAGAAGGCCUUCUGGUUGUAAAGUACUUUCAGCGGGGAGGAAGGUGUUGUGGUUAAUAACCGCAGCAAUUGACGUUACCCGCAAAACAAGCACCGGCUAACUCCGUGCCACCAGCCGCGGUAAUAC
RNAcentral lists this ribosomal RNA (494 nucleotides) under Azotobacter sp. DVD-7. RNAcentral's name for it is "bacterial SSU rRNA". It matches the Rfam family "Bacterial small subunit ribosomal RNA", at positions 41 to 526 of the family's 1533-position model. Lineage: Bacteria; Pseudomonadati; Pseudomonadota; Gammaproteobacteria; Pseudomonadales; Pseudomonadaceae. The record is from RNAcentral.